UUGCUGUUUUCAAAGGUUUUCCUUGCC
Molecule: non-coding RNA, 27 nt
Filed under: Rattus norvegicus (Norway rat)
Lineage: Eukaryota; Metazoa; Chordata; Mammalia; Rodentia; Muridae
Source: RNAcentral